This 117-nucleotide ribosomal RNA is filed under the name Danio rerio (zebrafish). The record is from RNAcentral. Lineage: Eukaryota; Metazoa; Chordata; Actinopteri; Cypriniformes; Danionidae.
GGCCACAGCCAUGUCACCCUGCAGCCCAAGACCGGUUACUCACUGAAGCUAAGCAGGGCUGAGCCUGGUCAGAACCUGGAUGGGAGACCACUAGGGAACACUAGGUUGCUGUUGGAA